Molecule: ribosomal RNA, 408 nt
Filed under: uncultured Methylomirabilota bacterium
Lineage: Bacteria; Methylomirabilota (SeqCode)
Description: bacterial SSU rRNA
Rfam family: Bacterial small subunit ribosomal RNA
Source: RNAcentral
CGUGGAGACAGGUGGUGCAUGGCUGUCGUCAGCUCGUGUCGUGAGAUGUUGGGUUAAGUCCCGCAACGAGCGCAACCCUCACCCCUAGUUGCCACCGGGUUAAGCCGAGCACUCAAGGGGAACUGCCAGCGUCAAGCUGGAGGAAGGCGGGGAUGACGUCAAGUCAUCAUGCCCCUUACGCCCUGGGCUACACACGUGCUACAAUGGCCAGUACAAAGGGACGCGAGACUGCGAAGUGGAGCUAAUCCCAAAAAGUUGGUCUAAGUUCAGAUUGCAGUCUGCAACUCGACUGCAUGAAGGAGGAAUCGCUAGUAAUCGCGUAUCAGCCCGGCGCGGUGAAUACGUUCCCGGGCCUUGUACACACCGCCCGUCACACCACGAAAGCUGUCUGUACUCGAAGUCGCUGAG